UGAAGUAUGGCCAAGUGGUAAGGCAUCCGUUUUUGGUACGGAAAAUCAAAGGU
Molecule: transfer RNA, 53 nt
Filed under: Phytophthora aff. syringae
Lineage: Eukaryota; Oomycota; Peronosporomycetes; Peronosporales; Peronosporaceae
Description: partial tRNA-Gln
Rfam family: tRNA
About the family: Transfer RNA (tRNA) molecules are approximately 80 nucleotides in length. Their secondary structure includes four short double-helical elements and three loops (D, anti-codon, and T loops).
Source: RNAcentral